GCGCAAGCGUUAUCCGGAAUUAUUGGGCGUAAAGAGCUCGUAGGCGGUUUGUCGCGUCUGCUGUGAAAACCCGAGGCUCAACCUCGGGCCUGCAGUGGGUACGGGCAGACUAGAGUGCGGUAGGGGAGAUUGGAAUUCCUGGUGUAGCGGUGGAAUGCGCAGAUAUCAGGAGGAACACCGAUGGCGAAGGCAGAUCUCUGGGCCGUAACUGACGCUGAGGAGCGAAAGGGUGGGGAGCAAACAGGCUUAGAUACCCUGGUAGUCCACCCCGUAAACGUUGGGAACUAGUUGUGGGGGCCUUUCCACGGUCUCCGUGACGCAGCUAACGCAUUAAGUUCCCCGCCUGGGGAGUACGGCCGCAAGGCUAAAACUCAAAGGAAUUGACGGGGACCCGCACAAGCGGCGGAGCGUGCGGAUUAAUUCGAUGCAACGCGAAGAACCUUACCAAGGCUUGACAUAUAGAGGAAAGUUCUGGAAACAGUUCCCCCGCAAGGUCUCUAUACAGGUGGUGCAUGGUUGUCGUCAGCUCGUGUCGUGAGAUGUUGGGUUAAGUCCCGCAACGAGCGCAACCCUCGUUCUAUGUUGCCAGCACGUAAUGGUGGGAACUCAUGGGAUACUGCCGGGGUCAACUCGGAGGAAGGUGGGGAUGACGUCAAAUCAUCAUG
RNAcentral lists this ribosomal RNA (665 nucleotides) under uncultured bacterium. RNAcentral describes it as "bacterial SSU rRNA". It matches the Rfam family "Bacterial small subunit ribosomal RNA", at positions 532 to 1197 of the family's 1533-position model. The record is from RNAcentral.